AUGGCGAGUCAAGGCGUGGAGGAGCGGGCCAAGGUGUCUUCUUGUUUUGACAUGGUUAUGUCUGAGGUGGAGCCUGUUGAGCAGUCGACAUUGGAGGAGCCGAAGGUUUCCAGUGCUCCUUGCACCGGGAAGCCUUCAAAGGAGCUGAUCCAGAUGGAUGCAGAUGAGCCUCUUGGGAGAGCCUCCUCUNNNNGGGGGGGGUUCCUCGAAGAGCUUGCUCUCAUUGUGUCGAGCUCGCCGCAAGUUUUGCAGGUGGGAGAGGCUGCCCCUUCUCUCUUAGAGCGACGAAGCUGCCGUUUGGACAAGAAAAACAAAGAUUGCGACAUUCCUGUAGCCAAGCGCGCGGAGUAUAGGCGGGCGGAGGCCUUUGGAGAGGUUCCAACACUGAAGAGCAAAGGAAAAGCAUCCGAGGAAGACCUGAAUGAGAAGAUGCAACACUAUCUGCAGAUGUACAAGAAGGAACACACGCCCAAGGCGAUCGAGGCGGUGCGCGCAUUAGUUCAGGCCAAUGCUUGA
RNAcentral lists this ribosomal RNA (516 nucleotides) under Triticum aestivum (bread wheat). RNAcentral's name for it is "partial small subunit ribosomal RNA". The record is from RNAcentral. Lineage: Eukaryota; Viridiplantae; Streptophyta; Magnoliopsida; Poales; Poaceae.